Mustela erminea (ermine) is the source of this 4309-nucleotide long non-coding RNA. RefSeq lists it as uncharacterized. The transcript is spliced from 3 exons. Lineage: Eukaryota; Metazoa; Chordata; Mammalia; Carnivora; Mustelidae. The record is from RefSeq and is a predicted model, not a curated record.
UGCUCACCUCCUACACAGAUGCAUGCAUGUCAUGUAUAGAUGCGCAGACUAGUGCUUUUGUCUCAUCUAGAUAAUAAGCUUCACGUAGUGGACGAAUGAAUUCUUUGCAUACAGACCCAGUCUAGACAAAACUUGGCGCACUGAUGAAACAUACAUAUAUUUUCCAUAUUAAUUGGGAGUCCAGUCUCGGCUUCCUUUUAAGAGUAUCUGGGCCCUGUAAAGUCGUCUCCUUCAGUAAACUACACUAAUUAGACCCGGGGUGGGAAUAAGCCUCGACUGGCUGGUAACUAAUUGGACGAUCUUUUCAGUGUGAUGGAAAUGUUCCCAAACUGGAUCGUGGUGAUGAUUGUGCUGUAAAUUUACUAAAACUCAUUGUACACUUCGGUUCCAGGAGCAGACCCUGUAUCAUAGGCUACAUCAGGUACUCCAGAACUCACCUGCAAGGCCCACGUGGGCUCCAGCAUGACAGAGGCAUUCUGGAAUGGAUGUCUUCAGAGGAUGAGUGAUACUCAGAUUUCAGAACCUAGGCUGACUCCUGUAAGCAGAGAGGCACCUGUAGGAAUGUCCUGUCCUGGGAUGGGGGCGUUGAACCUCACAACAGACCAUGAGCUGAUGGAGCACACAGUCGGGAAUGGAGAAGGGUCAUUGUCCUCUGUCUUCAAAGUCUGACCCUACCACAAUGGGGAAGCAGAACCACCAUCUGUCAUCUGUUCUAGGGAGGAGGCAACCAAACACAGAGACCGCAGAUCAUCUGUGGAAGCGUAUACUUCUCUGGAUUUACAGGUGGGGCAGCGGUGAGAUGGGAUGUGGCAGGGUUGCUCUGAGAGUUGGUUAAAAGUGUUCUGAGAGCCCAGAACAAACAUGGAGAAAUUAACAGAGAUCCAGCAACAGGUCAGGAAUAAGGUAAGCAAUUGUCUAUAGCCAUACCACAGUGAACACACCCGAUCUCCUCUGAUCUCUCAAGAAUAAGGUAAAAAAUUUAAAGCUGGAUUACCAUGCCAAGUGGAGCAAACCAGAUGAGAACAAAGCAUCUGGUGGCAAAACCAUGGGGGUCAGAGAUGGAGGAAAUACUGGGUUAGAUGAAGCCCCACAGGAGAAAGAGGCCCAGAAUGAUGGUCGGUCACUAUUUCUACGUAUUAUCCAUGUAUCUGGCACGUGAGAUCUGGGGACAAUCAGAGAAGCUAUGGAACAGAAAACACCUAGCUUACUGUCAUCCAUCGAUCGAGACCAAACUCCUCAGCCAGAACAUUCAGAUCCAUUCUGACCUGGAUCAUGCUUAUUUCUACAGGGUCACUCUUCACUUUGCAGCUCACGCCGCUACUACAGGCAUUUCCCUGAAUUCAGCGUGUCUUUUGUGCUCCUAUGUGCACAUGCAAUUCCCCCUGCCUAGAACAUGACUGCCAUUUCCAUUUCCAUUUCCUCAGUAAGGACCAACUCACUCCUAUGGAGUUAGCCCCAGCUUCCUUAGCAUCUCCAGGCACAAUGAAUGAUUCUGACAUCUUUCUGAUGUCACCCGAAACAUGCUUUUUUACCUCAGUUCUUUCAGUUGCUGUACUACAUGAUAAUGGUGUACUUGCCUGCCUUAACUGAGCUCUGUGUCCCAUGAGGACAGAGCCUGUAUCUUACUGCAGUGUUUAAACCCCCACAUCUAAUAUGGUAGGUAGCACAUAGUUGGUGCUCAGUAAACAGUUGCUGGGUGGUUGGAUGGAUGGAUGGACUCACAUUCUUACCAGGGAGACAGACGGACAAGUAAAGAAAACAAUUACAAAGCUGUGAGGAAAAGGCCGUGCUAACAGGUCAUUUCGGGUACACAGAGGAAGGAAUGCCUGACUUCAGGCAGCCCUACCCCCCUUUCUGCUCCCUGCAAUAUGCAAUUCAACGUAAAAACGCUAAACAGUAAAAUAAAAUUUUUGAAACAAACAGGAAAUCUUCUCCCUAGACAUGAAAUGUCAUAAGCGCUUUCUUUUUGGGAAGGGGAGAACACCUCUGCUUUGUGGGUGCUUUUACCCUCAAGAAUAUGACAGAAGAGAAGGUCAUGGCUCUUGGUAGAGACGUGGGCAGGUUAAGGAAACCAGCCAGGACUGAAGGGGUACCCACCAAAAGACAAGCGACAGCAGGAGGAAGUUGCCCUGCCUAGGCCUGGGCCACAGAAGAGCCCAGCCACUGCCAGAACUUGAGCUCAGCCCAGCGAGCUGGUGGUGGUGGUGGGGGGGGGGGGAUCCCCAAUCACACCCUCCUUCCACCUUCAGAUCUGCCUCUGUCUCUUGUUAACCAAACUCCAUCAGGAGCCAGAGGGCAAGUGAGCCCAGGUGACACAAUCAUAGAGGUCAGCCUCUGGGGCAGGGGAGAGAAGGGCUGAGAACGGAACUGGGUAGUGAGAGGACAGAGAAUAACCAGCACUGUGGGGGGAAAUGCCUCUGCUUUGCAGGUGACCUAUGUCUGUGAUCAUUUCCUGCUGAGGAUGCAAACAUUGAUUGAGGCCCCACAGAUGACAAGUCUACAUCUCGGGCUUUCUCUAUUUGGAUAUUUGUGUAGCCAAGCUUAUUAAAAUCUGUGCCCCUUAAUUAGUAGGUCUGGGAUGGGGCGAGGGUAUCUAGCUUUUUAAAAAGCUUCCCAAGAAAUUCUGAUAGGCCUUGCUUGUUGAGAACCACUUUUAUAGCCCCAUCCUUUCACUUUUGUCAACAGGGAAACUAACCUCUAGGGAAGGGAAGAAGGCCCUGACUUGUUCUCGCCCUGAGAAUUAUUCCUUAGGUGACAUUAAAGGGUUUGGCUGGAAAACAGAUUCUCCAUUUCUCCAUUUUUUGAUGAGGAAACCCAGGCUCCAAAGAUGGAGUGACGUGCCCAGUUAAUAGAGCUAGUAAGUCCCAGAGAAGGAGGGACUAGCACCAAGUACAGUAGUUCUAACUUUCAAUCCAGGCUUUUUUUCUAGGCAGGACACUGUAGGAAGGGGUGUAUACGUGCUGGGGGCACCAAGCCCUCUAGGUAGCAAUUAUAGUCUCCCAUUCUGGUAAGGUAGGUCUCCCCACUGCCCCUGGCUGGGAAGAGAGUGGAGCAGGCAGAGUUCCCUGCCCCCUGGGGCCCUACGCAGAAGGGGCCUGAAGGUGAUGGGAGAAGGCUGUGUGUGACCCCCAAUCCCAAGUCUUGAUUCUCACUCUAGUGCCCCUGCCUCUGAAUCUCUGCUUGUCAAUUCUAUCAUGAAAGAGGGCUGCUCCCCACUCCACUUGGGUGUUAGGUCAGCACAGGCUUUGGGAAAGCUGGGCUGGUCCCAAAAGAAAAAGAAAGGGGCCCAUUAUGGGAGGGGCUCACAGAAGGCAAGCUGUAGGCUUCUCUUGGCCCAGCACCAGGUUCGGGUGCAGCAACAGUGUCAGUCCAGGAUGUUUAAAACUCCUUGUUGGCUGCUAAUUGAGGCCAGUUAGGGCUGGUUAUCCCCUCCAACCCCAAUUCCCAAAGCCUGGCACGUGGCGCCUUCCCUCCUCCUACAGAAAGACCGCAGGCCAUCCUUUGAGAAGUAUCUGAAAUCUCUGUCUCCAGGAUGCUUCCAGGAUGACAUCAGCAUCCCACUCCUUCCCUGUCCUACACAACAUGAUGGCCUGGGAGAAAGCUUAGAGAUUAUGCAUUUAUCUUAUAUAUGAGGAAAUCAAGCUGAGAGAGGGCAGCUGAUUCACCCAGUCGCCCAACAUGGACCUGGCAAAUUGGAACAGAGAUCCCUGUUCACUUAACUACUUACCAUGGAAUUCCCACGGUUCUGAUGAAGCCCAGUCGCAAAUGUGUCUGUAAUGUGUCGCAAAUUAGUCUCUGUUAUCUUGACACUCAAGCUUCUUAAGCCGGAUUUUGGCAAAGCUAGUUCCCACUCGUGUGGGUCCUUAAGUAUGCUCAGGUCUGCCUGAGGUCCUCAGGUCUGUCAUUCCUGGUGUGUUCUUGUGUUACAGUUGUGUCUGAGCUAUGAGAGGCAUGUACCUAAGAGCAAUUAAGUAUUUGUGGUCUGGAGGUGUGCCUGUCUCUGCCUCUCUUUAUGUUGAAGGACGUGUGUCCACCUGCCACUGGUGGUUUUAGGUCUACAUAUUUGUUUGAUGCCUAAGGGUAAUUGUGAUUCUGUAUAUGUUUGUAUAUACGUGAGGACAAUGGGUCUAUGGGCUGCUCUGGACUUAUUGAGGUGUCUCUUUUCAUGUUGAAGGUGCUAUGUACGCUGACCACUGUGUCCAUUUGCAUGUGUGUUUGUACACAAUGAAGGCUGUGGGUCUAAUUGUAACUAUGUCUGUGUGUGGGGCGUGUGGCUGGCUCAGUCGGUUAAGCGGCUGCCUUGGGCUUG